UGACAUGGUACAAACGAAGACAAGUUUAUAAAUAUAUAUUAACAUAUUGUCUGAGGUGAUGAAUUGCAAUCCUAUAAACACAAGUCCUUGGAAUUGGUUUUUUCAACAUAAUUUGGUCUUCAAAAUUAAUGCGGUGGUGGGUCAGACACGUAAUGUAUGCGUUGCCUCUGAUUCGGCGGUGGUGGUGGUGAGAGUUGCGUUCUGAGGCUGUGAAACCAAAAACUGUCCCUCUCCCUCUCCGUGGGUGUUAAACCAGCUGCCCCUUGACAAUAAAUAGGAGCCAUGUUUCUGGAUGCACCUCGGCAAUCAAGAAUCCACCUUGAGCUUACACCUAUGACGAAAUGAAGCAUAAAAUCAAUCAAUUUAGUAAAUAAACUAGAUGUCCAGUUCAGAGGAAAUACCUUGAACACAAUUGUGAACAGCAUCGAGAAUUAAGAGGAUAACGAGGAGUGCUGCAAUGAGUUGCUUUGCAAGUAGUAAUAUCCUAUUCAUGGCGAUGGUUUAAGAAAGGAAGAUAAGAUCACCACAGCUAUAUUCUUUCAAAUGUAUUUGCCUAGUUUAAGAAAGGAAGAUGGAACCAAUGCAGAUUUUUAAGGAAGUCGAA
RNAcentral lists this long non-coding RNA (604 nucleotides) under Panax ginseng (ginseng). RNAcentral describes it as "long non-coding RNA (PGIN_LNC009654)". The record is from RNAcentral. Lineage: Eukaryota; Viridiplantae; Streptophyta; Magnoliopsida; Apiales; Araliaceae.